This 716-nucleotide long non-coding RNA is filed under the name Rattus norvegicus (Norway rat). RNAcentral's name for it is "long non-coding RNA NONRATT020999". Lineage: Eukaryota; Metazoa; Chordata; Mammalia; Rodentia; Muridae. The record is from RNAcentral.
CCGCAUUGCCGUCUGUGGAGAGCACACAGAGCUGAAGCCGUGGACGGACCCUCAGUGGUGUAAGAAGAUGUACAGUAUACCUUAAAUCUAUGAAAUUCAUAGUUCAGAUGCUUCUGACCACAGAGCAUCAUUUUAUCACCUUUGGAAAAUGUUUAUUCCAAAAUAGCUUUAAUGGCCCGUAUGUGCACUCCCUCCUUAGUGUCAAGGUCACCGUCCUCCACAGGCUGCUUCAGUUCAGAGCCUCAGUCAGCUGCUUUCUCCCCCGCGCCGCUCCAUGCAGAGCUUGCUUGGUUGCAGUCCCCACAUUUGGAUGCUUAAGUCUCAGUGAACUUGGCUUUCUUUUGCUUCUCAGUGAGCCUACCCUUUCCUGUGAGGCUUAUUUGCUUUGUUUUUUUUUUCUUCCCUUUUUGGCUUCUGCAGUGCUUCGUUUGACACUUGAUUUGUAAAAAUUUUAUAUAAAUAUAUUUAAAAUGUGCCAUUUUAUCACUGCUAAGUGAAGUCUGUCCUGUUCUCGGCUCGGGCCUCCUCAGUGAGACUGCACCGUCAGCAGUUCUGCCGCGCUCCGUCUGCUCCACAAGUGCUGCUGCUCAGCUUUUCCGUGGAGAGCCAAACAAUUCCAAGUGUGGGUAUUUUGAAGUACUGGACAUUACGUCACGGGGCUAGACGUGUCCAGCAAUAAGCGGGCUUCUAGAGCCCGUGCUUGGUCUGUGUACAGA